Gallus gallus (chicken) is the source of this 832-nucleotide long non-coding RNA. RefSeq lists it as uncharacterized. NCBI's taxonomy places the organism in Eukaryota, Metazoa, Chordata, Aves, Galliformes, Phasianidae. The transcript is spliced from 3 exons. The record is from RefSeq and is a predicted model, not a curated record.
AACCAACCUCUGAUCAGAGAUGAUGAAGUCCAGGGCUAGUCAGACUUGGAGGGAGGUCUGAGAAAAACAUGGAUCUGCUCGAAAUAGAGAAAAAGUCAGAGCUGAAAAGCAUGGAAUUCAGUAAUUCUAGCACACACAAUAUUUUGGACACAUUUCCUCAGAUGCUCACGGUUCAAUUCACUAACUACUGCCUCUGGUGCUAUGAGGAGGCCUUACCAAAAUCUUAAGGGAAAAGCACCUGGUGAUUCGGUCAGCUGGGACUCCAACCCACCUCAGUGCACUAAAGAUGGCAACAGAAAUUGAAGUGAGAAUGAGCAGACUUCUUACCCUGUUUUAUUUUUUCAAGAAAAGAUGCCGUUUGUUUAAAAAUCACUUGCUGGAAUGCAGGCUGCUCAUCCACCGCAUGCUCCCAGUUUCACAUCUACUGUUGCCUUUGAGGAAUCAAAAUCUGCCACGUGGUGUCUGGCGAAACCUGCCCGAUUUUACUCUUCAUUACUUCUUGCAUGCCUGGGUGCUUAAAGAAGACCCCUCUUUUGAACAGCAGCUCACAGUCUGAUAAUAUUUCUCUUUGAAAAGUCAACAUACUAUCACUGUUUCGGAUUCAAUUAUACAGCGGGCUUUCUCUGCAUGGUAUGCAAGUGCUGUAUUUAGGUUAUAUUAAAUUAUGUUUUAAUAACAUCCACUGGCUUUUUUUUAUCCACCUCAGCCUUUAAAAGUCUUAGCCCCUCCAAAGGGGGGGAGAAGAAGUUUAUUAAUGCAUCACUUCAGAAUUGUUUUUUAAUUGGAAACAUUUUGCAGAGAAAAGACCAUUAAUAAAAUUCGAUUCCAAAUC